RNAcentral lists this long non-coding RNA (515 nucleotides) under Panax ginseng (ginseng). Its description in RNAcentral is "long non-coding RNA (PGIN_LNC011596)". The record is from RNAcentral. Lineage: Eukaryota; Viridiplantae; Streptophyta; Magnoliopsida; Apiales; Araliaceae.
UCUCUUUAUUUAUGUUUAUGUGAAUGUAUUUCGUUAGUUUGAUAUAAUCAACUACUCUAUCAACCGUUAGCGUAAUUUUGACAUGUUAUUUUGGUGAUUUUGUCAUGCGUACAAAAUUUGACGUUAACACUAUCCACAUAUAUUUAAAUGUGUUAAUUAGUUUCUUAUUUGAGAAUAAAUAGUUUAAUCACUUGAUAUAUUUGAGUAUGCAAUUAUAUCAAUUAAUAAAGCGGGAGGAAAAAGUACGUUCUUUUUAGUGUAAAUAAUUUUAUGAAGCUUUUUUUAUUAUUUUCCUUUUUUUAGCUUUUCCGUCCCAAUUAAUUCGCUCAAACAAAUAGUUAUUUCAUUUUUCAUUCUUGUUUUCUGUCUCCUACUCUCUUAUCCCUUAUUUAAAAAAUUUAUUUUAAACCACACACGUAUUUAAAAAUUUUAUUUUAAACCACACACUUGCUGUGUGUAGGUAACUAGUUAAUACUCUCUCUAUUCUUUAAAAGAUGACUUAAGUUAUAAUUUUC